GUUGAACGCUGGCGGCAGGCCUAACACAUGCAAGUCGAGCGGAAACGAUGGUAGCUUGCUACCAGGCGUCGAGCGGCGGACGGGUGAGUAACGCGUGAGAAUCUACCCAUGAGUGGGGGACAACCCGGGGAAACUCGGGCUAAUACCGCAUACGCCCUACGGGGUAAAGCAGGGGACCUUCGGGCCUUGCGCUGAUGGAUGAGCUCGCGUCGGAUUAGCUUGUUGGUGAGGUAAAGGCUCACCAAGGCGACGAUCCGUAGCUGGUCUGAGAGGAUGAUCAGCCACACCGGGACUGAGACACGGCCCGG
This 308-nucleotide ribosomal RNA is filed under the name uncultured Alcanivorax sp. Its description in RNAcentral is "bacterial SSU rRNA". It matches the Rfam family "Bacterial small subunit ribosomal RNA", at positions 28 to 334 of the family's 1533-position model. Lineage: Bacteria; Pseudomonadati; Pseudomonadota; Gammaproteobacteria; Oceanospirillales; Alcanivoracaceae. The record is from RNAcentral.